CCUACGGGUGGCAGCAGUGGGGGAUAUUGCACAAUGGGGGAAACCCUGAUGCAGCGAUGCCGCGUGAAUGAAGACGGCCUUCGGUUUGUAAAGUUCUGUCGCAGGGGACGAAAAUGACGGUACCCUGCAAGAAAGCUCCGGCUAACUACGGUCCAGCAGCCGCGGUAACCCGUAGGGAGCAAGCUUUGUCCGGUAUUAAUGGGUGAAAAGGGAGCGUAGGCGGGAGGAUAAGUUGAAUGUAAAAUCUAUGGGUUCAACCCAUAGCUGCGUUCAAAACUGUUCUUCUUGAGUGAAGUAGAGGCAGGCGGAAUUCCUAGUGUAGCGGUGAAAUGCGUAGAUAUUAGGAGGAACACCAGUGGCGAAGGCGGCCUGCUGGGCUUUUACUGACGCUGAGGCUCGAAAGCGUGGGUAGCGAACAGGAUUAGAUACCCCUGUAGUC
RNAcentral lists this ribosomal RNA (439 nucleotides) under uncultured bacterium. Its description in RNAcentral is "partial 16S ribosomal RNA". It matches the Rfam family "Bacterial small subunit ribosomal RNA", at positions 338 to 795 of the family's 1533-position model. The record is from RNAcentral.